GACUGACACUCCUACGGGAGGCAGCAGUGGGGAAUCUUAGACAAUGGGGGCAACCCUGAUGCAGCCAUGCCGCGUGUGUGAAGAAGGCCUUCGGGUUGUAAAGCUCUUUCGCCAGGGAUGAUAAUGACAGUACCUGGUAAAGAAACCCCGGCUAACUCCGUGCCAGCACGCCGCGAUGAUACGGAGGGGGUUAGCGUUGUUCGGAAUUACUGGGCGUAAAGCGCGCGUAGGCGGACUAGAAAGUUGGGGGUGAAAUCCCGGGGCUCAACCUCGGAACUGCCUUCAAAACUCCUAGUCUAGAGUUCGAGAGAGGUGAGUGGAAUUCCAAGUGUAGAGGUGAAAUUCGUAGAUAUUUGGAGGAACACCAGUGGCGAAGGCGGCUCACUGGCUCGAUACUGACGCUGAGGUGCGAAAGUGUGGGGAGCAAACAGGAUUAGAUACCCUGGUAG
RNAcentral lists this ribosomal RNA (449 nucleotides) under uncultured bacterium. RNAcentral's name for it is "bacterial SSU rRNA". It matches the Rfam family "Bacterial small subunit ribosomal RNA", at positions 328 to 793 of the family's 1533-position model. The record is from RNAcentral.